Molecule: ribosomal RNA, 439 nt
Filed under: uncultured bacterium
Lineage: Bacteria
Description: partial 16S ribosomal RNA
Rfam family: Bacterial small subunit ribosomal RNA
Source: RNAcentral
CUACGGGAUGCUGCAGUGGGGAAUAUUGCACAAUGGAGGAAACUCUGAUGCAGCAACGCCGCGUGGAGGAUGACACUUUUCGGAGCGUAAACUCCUUUUAUAUAGGAAGAAGAUGACGGUACUAUAUGAAUAAGCGCCGGCUAACUCCGUGCCAGCAGCCGCGGUAAUACGGGGGGCGCAAGCGUUACUCGGAAUCACUGGGCGUAAAGAGCGUGUAGGCGGAUUAAAAAGUCAGAAGUGAAAUCCUAUAGCUUAACUAUAGAACUGCUUCUGAAACUCUUAAUCUAGAAUAUGGGAGAGGUAGAUGGAAUUUCUGGUGUAGGGGUAAAAUCCGUAGAGAUCAGAAGGAAUACCGAUUGCGAAGGCGAUCUACUAGAACAUUAUUGACGCUGAGACGCGAAAGCGUGAGGAGCAAACAGGAUUAGAUACCCUCGUAGUC